AUUGAACGCUGGCGGCAUGCUUUACACAUGCAAGUCGGACGGCAGCACAGAGAAGCUUGCUUCUUGGGUGGCGAGUGGCGAACGGGUGAGUAAUAUAUCGGAACGUACCGAGUAAUGGGGGAUAACUAAUCGAAAGAUUAGCUAAUACCGCGUAUUCUCUGAGGAGGAAAGCAGGGGACCUUCGGGCCUUGCGUUAUUCGAGCGGCCGAUAUCUGAUUAGCUAGUUGGUGGGGUAAAGGCCUACCAAGGCGACGAUCAGUAGCGGGUCUGAGAGGAUGAUCCGCCACACUGGGACUGAGACACGGCCCAGACUCCUACGGGAGGCAGCAGUGGGGAAUUUUGGACAAUGGGCGCAAGCCUGAUCCAGCCAUGCCGCGUGUCUGAAGAAGGCCUUCGGGUUGUAAAGGACUUUUGUCAGGGAAGAAAAGGCUGUUGCUAAUAUCGACAGCUGAUGACGGUACCUGAAGAAUAAGCACCGGCUAACUACGUG
RNAcentral lists this ribosomal RNA (490 nucleotides) under uncultured bacterium. Its description in RNAcentral is "partial 16S ribosomal RNA". It matches the Rfam family "Bacterial small subunit ribosomal RNA", at positions 30 to 507 of the family's 1533-position model. The record is from RNAcentral.